This is a long non-coding RNA of Dioscorea cayenensis subsp. rotundata (Guinea yam), 2410 nucleotides long. RefSeq lists it as uncharacterized. Lineage: Eukaryota; Viridiplantae; Streptophyta; Magnoliopsida; Dioscoreales; Dioscoreaceae. The transcript has 2 exons. The record is from RefSeq and is a predicted model, not a curated record.
AGUGCCCUUGGCCUCCCUCCUUCCUAAACUCUCAUCCCGCCCUCAAUCACUACAUUCCCAUACAAAUGGGUUUUAUGCUGUGAAUCAUUCGACCUCUCUCUGGAUCUACAAAGUCUUAAACCCUUGCAGCGCCCUCAUAUGGUAUAUCCUAGGGUUUGGUUCUCUUGAAGGACAAUUGACUGGAUAACUAUCAAUUGUAUGAUAAUCGUGUGGUGACUUUCAUAUGAUCGAUCCAUGAAUGAAGCAGAACUACUUACAGCUUGACUUCAAUAGCUUUCUUUUACUAAAUUGUUUAUGGAUGUGUUUUGAAUUAUAAUUGGAAUUCUUGAUUUCGGGGAGGUUGUCAAGUUUGUCUCAUUGUUUGAAUUUUAUUGUUGGUUGUUGUGAAAUGAUUACAUAGUCAUAUUUUUUUUUUUAUUAGUAUUAUUUUGUAUUCUGUGAAAGAUAAUUUCGAAGCUCUGUUUUCAUCAAUUGCUCCUCAUUAGUAAACUUGAUGAGUGUUUGACUGUUGCUUGCUCGACUCUCAUAUUGUUUGCAUGUAAUGCAGUUUUAGUUAUGUUCACUUGUUAUAUAUCUUAUGGAAUUGUCAGAAACACCUUUUAGAUGCCCAUUAUACAGACUCAAAGUAAUUAGACACAAAUUUUAGGCCAGAGAAUUAUACGCAUUCUACAUAGUAUCUACAGAUAAAGAAAAUUCUUCAAUGUUUUUCAAUAUUAAAGAUUGGCGUGACAUUUCACCACCAAUGUGAUGCUUGAUUCACUGUAGUUAAAGUUGUCUUCCAAGAAGAGCUGAUGUGUCUCUGAGUAUUCUUUUUUCUUGUUCAAUUUUGGCUCUGCGGUGGCUUACCAAAUACCAACCAUAGGGAUAGAUAAACUUAACUUUGAUUUUAUUGGUUUGCUUUUUGACAAAUGUCCUCUCAAGUGGUUAUAUAUAUUAUUUUUCUGCAAGUAAACGUUGAUAUUCCAGAUAUUUUGGUAGUCUUUGUUGCAUGACAUCAGUUGUUGAUGAUCCUUUUCAUGUUUUGUUAAUGAUAAAAUAAGAGUUAGUUAUUGUAACAGAUUCUACAUGCAGGCAAAACCUUCUAGACAAGUUAUAUAUUUGGUGCUGCUCACUACAUAUGUCAAGCUAUUUUGUUUAACUAUUUGAUUAUUUGUCUACCUAUUGUCCUGCAGAGCAAAGUCGUUGGUGUUUGGUGACAUUUGUUACAUGUUUUAUGUAUUUUAAGAUCUGAUCUCACCUUGCAUGCAAAAUCAAAGAUGAUCACUUUGAACAUAAAAAACGUACUGCUUUUGCUUAUUAUAUGUUUGGGCUAUGGUCUUUGCCCACAUUUUAUGUUCUGCCUUGGCUGAAACCAAUUUGUUUUAUGUUUCUAUUACUUGCCUAAUUUUAGUCAUAAAAACUUUCAUGUUGACAAAUAUUGAUGAAAUAUUUCAUUGUCUUUUACAGCACAUUGUAUGGAAAUCCUCUCAAAAGCAUCAUAUUUCACCUAAUAUUGUUUGACCUGGGUAACAUAAACCUCCUAUCAUUUUGGACUAUGUCAUGUGACUGCAUUUUCCCCCCUAAUCGUAAUAGAUUGUUUUUUUUUUAUUCCUAAAAGAAAAAAUUGAUUAGAGUUGGUUGCCACGCAUGAGUGCUAAAGUUGUUUAAAGAUGCUUUUGUUUCAAGAAUCAAUUGAGAACUACUGCUGUUUCUUUAUUUCAUCUUUAUCUGGGAAAGGUGUGGCUUUUUUGUUUAUGUUUAGCAGAGUUGGUUAUUACGUAUCAUCAAUAAUAAAGCUAACACAAUGUGAAUCUUUCAUAUCUUAUAGACGUUCCACACUGAAACUUAUUGUUAUUGGUCCAGUGGUCAUCAUCAGCCAGUGAAAUAGACCCCCAUUUAUUUCUGCAAAUUGUAGAGAGUGACAAAAAGCAGAAGCUUAUAUUACAAAUUUAAAUUAUUUGCAUUCAGCAAUCAAAUCACUGUAUCCAAAUUUAUGGGGGAUACUUUUAAAUGAAGUCAAGAUGCAGAUGGAAGCCAGCUCAAGUGCAAACUUCUUGGCUGUCAAAUCAUUUGGUUCACUAUUUGCAAUUCUUUAACCUUAACAGGUUCCACCUGGCUGCAUGAGUUGUUGGCAGAAGGCAAAGUUUUAGGUACGUUUGUCCUGAACUCACACUGGCCCUCAUCUUUCAUUACCAAUUUAGAGUUCCUAACCGGUUUCUUUCACAUAUGAAAACCACUCACUUAUUCAACUGUCAACAGGUAUUGGCAGGAAUAAAACAAAAAAAAAAAGACAAUGUAUCUGAAAAAAAGGUAAAGUAGCACUUGUUUCUCUUCAACCAGGAAAGAACUUUCUUCCUUUACAAUGUUGUCUUGUUGUGUAUAUCUUUUUUUGUGUUUGUGAGAAGAAUUAAAAUAAAAAUAGAAAAAAAAA